CGGUGUGUAGCUCAGUUUGGUAGAGCGAUUGCUUUGGGAGCAUUAGGUCCGAGGUUCGAAUCCUCGUACACCGA
RNAcentral lists this transfer RNA (74 nucleotides) under Cronobacter phage CR9. It matches the Rfam family "tRNA". Rfam says of the family: Transfer RNA (tRNA) molecules are approximately 80 nucleotides in length. Their secondary structure includes four short double-helical elements and three loops (D, anti-codon, and T loops). The record is from Rfam by way of RNAcentral. Lineage: Duplodnaviria; Heunggongvirae; Uroviricota; Caudoviricetes.